RNAcentral lists this ribosomal RNA (492 nucleotides) under uncultured bacterium. RNAcentral's name for it is "partial 16S ribosomal RNA". It matches the Rfam family "Bacterial small subunit ribosomal RNA", at positions 29 to 507 of the family's 1533-position model. The record is from RNAcentral.
AGUGAACGCUGGCGGUAGGCCUAACACAUGCAAGUCGAACGGCAGCACAGUAAGAGCUUGCUCUUACGGGUGGCGAGUGGCGGACGGGUGAGGAAUACAUCGGAAUCUACUUUUUCGUGGGGGUUAACGUAGGGAAACUUACGCUAAUACCGCAUACGACCUACGGGUGAAAGCAGGGGAUCUUCGGACCUUGCGCGAUUGAAUGAGCCGAUGUCGGAUUAGCUAGUUGGCGGGGUAAAGGCCCACCAAGGCGACGAUCCGUAGCUGGUCUGAGAGGAUGAUCAGCCACACUGGAACUGAGACACGGUCCAGACUCCUACGGGAGGCAGCAGUGGGGAAUAUUGGACAAUGGGCGCAAGCCUGAUCCAGCCAUACCGCGUGGGUGAAGAAGGCCUUCGGGUUGUAAAGCCCUUUUGUUAGGAAAGAAAAGCAGCAGGUUAAUACCCCGCUGUUCUGACGGUACCCAAAGAAUAAGCACCGGCUAACUUCGUG